CAACCGCCCGUCACAUCACGAAAGUGGACUGCACUAGAAGCCCGGUGAGCCAACCGCAAGGGGGCACGCCGUCCAAGGUAUGGUUCAUGAUUGGGUCG
Molecule: ribosomal RNA, 98 nt
Filed under: uncultured bacterium
Lineage: Bacteria
Description: partial 16S ribosomal RNA
Source: RNAcentral